UCUAAGCCAUGCAAGCCCAGCCUCCCUCAAUUCACUCCAAGAAGUCUUACUUACCUGUCCUCAGCUUACCUUACCUUACCUUACCCUUCCAUGCAACCAGUCCUGUCUUCCAGGCUAGGAAGGGCCGCUGUUGACAUCACCUCCAUGGGGGGAGGGAGAAACACCAAGAAGGGGUCAGUCAGUGACGUCACUGUGUGUCUGGAGGCCAGAGGAGGUUUGUUCUCUUGCCAAGCUCUCUGCAUUCCUUGGUAGUGGCUCAAGCCAGCCCCUCCCCCGCCCCCGGGGACACCAAUCAGGAUGUGGUAAAGUCGCUCUGGGGUGCCCAGCACCUUACUGACUAGUAAAUCCAUAGAACACAUAAGAUGAAAUGUACAACCAUCACAAGUGGAUGAAUUAAUUUAUUUAUGCAUUUAGUGAGGAAUUUCUCAUUGCUUUCUAAAUGAGUGAAAGGUCCAGGCUGGCUUUGGAUGGUACCUGAUUAAUGAGAGGCAGAUUUGGAUAAAAACAUAGUAAAGGUUGCAAAUGCCUUGGAUGGUAUUCCGAGUGGAGUGGCCUGGAAGUUUACAGCAAAAAGGAAAACAAAUACAAUCUUCUCAUUUUGGACGCUUUCUGGUGGAUGUUAAGAGUUUGCCUAUAGUUUCAGUAGAUGCUGGAGUUUCUCGACACGUGUGGCCUCCCAAGGAAGAGAUGAUGGUGAGAAGAGGUUCAGCCCACCAGCCUUUCCUAUCUUUCUUCCUGUCCUUUGCUCCAGAAGACUCCCUCCUGUCUGCCCAUGGAGCUCAUCACCACACCACCUGUCACCCCGCUUCCAGGGGGCCCGAGCGGCUGUCCCUCUUGGUCUGUGUGUCCUACAAGAACCCUGCUAAAUGGAGGGGAAGGAGUGUGGAAAAAGAAAAAGUUGGC
Molecule: long non-coding RNA, 903 nt
Filed under: Capra hircus (goat)
Lineage: Eukaryota; Metazoa; Chordata; Mammalia; Artiodactyla; Bovidae
Description: lncRNA (ENSCHIG00000001316.1)
Source: RNAcentral